CCAGACUUCUGUGCAGCCUACAGAUGCUCUAAUCGCCGCAGUCUGCAAACAAGAACCCGUGGAAUCACCUUUCACGUGUUUCCCAAAACCGGAGAGAGGAGGCGGCAGUGGGAAGUUGCCCUAAGAAGGGACGGUUUUGUUUCCUGUGGCAGGACACUGCUCUGCAGUGAUCACCUCAGUUGUGAGGACUUUGACACCGCUUAAAGAUGGUGUUGUGCCAACAAUAUUCAACUUCCCAGCUCAUCUUCAAAGGGUAUCAACAAGAAGCACAACCACUUCAAGAAGAGCGGAAGAUGAACCUCAGCCUAAUGUUGUGAGUAUUCUGAAUGUGGCCAAGACCAGAGAGAUGGUCAUUGAUUUCAGGAGGGUGAGGAUGUAGUGGCAAUUUCUUGUGUUACCUUAUAUGCUAAAACCAAAUGCUUCUGAAAGCAUUGUCUAACACUACUGUACCAUUUCUUCAUAUUUGCUGUUUCCUCUGCAUACUCUAGUGAGGUUUAUUAUUCUCAAGCGCUUCAAGGCCACAGGGCUGAUUUGGCAGACUAUGUUGAAACUACUCCUUUUCACACUAAGUUUGAACUUCCAUAUUUUGAUGACUGUUGUACUUUCUAUGGCUCAAGGACACAGGUGUCCAAAUAGCGAUAUGAGACCGUGUGAAAGUGGAUUUCUGAGGCGUUCCGCCAUGCUACACAAAACUUUGUCUGCCCGCCCUAUCUUGUAUAUAAGCUUUGCUAUUUUGUGACUAUUGCGCACACUCCUGCAGACUACUCUGUACUCUGUGAGACAUGUACCUUUGAAGCUUCAAAUAAAUA
Molecule: long non-coding RNA, 809 nt
Organism: Notothenia coriiceps (black rockcod)
Lineage: Eukaryota; Metazoa; Chordata; Actinopteri; Perciformes; Nototheniidae
Exons: 3
Source: RefSeq, a predicted model, not a curated record